UGACCUUAGCGGCGGACGGGUGAGUAAUACUUAGGAAUCUGCCUAUUAGUGGGGGACAACAUCUCGAAAGGGAUGCUAAUACCGCAUACGUCCUACGGGAGAAAGCAGGGGAUCUUUAUGACCUUGCGCUAAUAGAUGAGCCUAAGUCGGAUUAGCUAGUUGGUGGGGUAAAGGCCUACCAAGGCGACGAUCUGUAGCGGGUCUGAGAGGAUGAUCCGCCACACUGGGACUGAGACACGGCCCAGACUCCUACGGGAGGCAGCAGUGGGGAAUAUUGGACAAUGGGGGGAACCCUGAUCCAGCCAUGCCGCGUGUGUGAAGAAGGCCUUAUGGUUGUAAAGCACUUUAAGCGAGGAGGAGGCUUACCUGGUUAAUACCCAGGAUAAGUGGACGUUACUCGCAGAAUAAGCACCGGCUAACUCUGUGCCAGCAGCCGCGGUAAUACAGAGGGUGCAAGCGUUAAUCGGAUUUACUGGGCGUAAAGCGCGCGUAGGCGGCCAAUUAAGUCAAAUGUGAAAUCCCCGAGCUUAACUUGGGAAUUGCAUUCGAUACUGAUUGGCUAGAGUGUGGGAGAGGAUGGUAGAAUUCCAGGUGUAGCGGUGAAAUGCGUAGAGAUCUGGAGGAAUACCGAUGGCGAAGGCAGCCAUCUGGCCUAACACUGACGCUGAGACUAAUACUGAC
Molecule: ribosomal RNA, 681 nt
Filed under: Acinetobacter sp. EECC-584
Lineage: Bacteria; Pseudomonadati; Pseudomonadota; Gammaproteobacteria; Moraxellales; Moraxellaceae
Description: bacterial SSU rRNA
Rfam family: Bacterial small subunit ribosomal RNA
Source: RNAcentral